UGUGUCGUGAGGCAUGCUGGAGGUAUCAGAAGUGCGAAUGCUGACAUAAGUAACGAUAAAGCGGGUGAAAAGCCCGCUCGCCGGAAGACCAAGGGUUCCUGUCCAACGUUAAUCGGGGCAGGGUGAGUCGACCCCUAAGGCGAGGCCGAAAGGCGUAGUCGAUGGGAAACGGGUUAAUAUUCCCGUACUUGGUGUUACUGCGAAGGGGGGACGGAGAAGGCUAUGUUGGCCGGGCGACGGUUGUCCCGGUUUAAGCGUGUAGGUGUGUGUUCCAGGUAAAUCCGGUUCACUUUAACACUGAGGCGUGACGACGAGGCACUACGGUGCUGAAGCAACAAAUGCCCUGCUUCCAGGAAAAGCCUCUAAGCAUCAGGUAACAUCAAAUCGUACCCCAAACCGACACAGGUGGUCAGGUAGAGAAUACCAAGGCGCUUGAGAGAACUCGGGUGAAGGAACUAGGCAAAAUGGUGCCGUAACUUCGGGAGAAGGCACGCUGACACGUAGGUGAAGUGAUUUACUCAUGGAGCUGAAGUCAGUCGAAGAUACCAGCUGGCUGCAACUGUUUAUUAAAAACACAGCACUGUGCAAACACGAAAGUGGACGUAUACGGUGUGACGCCUGCCCGGUGCCGGAAGGUUAAUUGAUGGGGUCAGCGCAAGCGAAGCUCCUGAUCGAAGCCCCGGUAAACGGCGGCCGUAACUAUAACGGUCCUAAGGUAGCGAAAUUCCUUGUCGGGUAAGUUCCGACCUGCACGAAUGGCGUAAUGAUGGCCAGGCUGUCUCCACCCGAGACUCAGUGAAAUUGAACUCGCUGUGAAGAUGCAGUGUACCCGCGGCAAGACGGAAAGACCCCGUGAACCUUUACUAUAGCUUGACACUGAACAUUGAGCCUUGAUGUGUAGGAUAGGUGGGAGGCUUUGAAGUGUGGACGCCAGUCUGCAUGGAGCCGACCUUGAAAUACCACCCUUUAAUGUUUGAUGUUCUAACGUGGACCCGUGAUCCGGGUUGCGGACAGUGUCUGGUGGGUAGUUUGACUGGGGCGGUCUCCUCCUAAAGAGUAACGGAGGAGCACGAAGGUUGGCUAAUCCUGGUCGGACAUCAGGAGGUUAGUGCAAUGGCAUAAGCCAGCUUGACUGCGAGCGUGACGGCGCGAGCAGGUGCGAAAGCAGGUCAUAGUGAUCCGGUGGUUCUGAAUGGAAGGGCCAUCGCUCAACGGAUAAAAGGUACUCCGGGGAUAACAGGCUGAUACCGCCCAAGAGUUCAUAUCGACGGCGGUGUUUGGCACCUCGAUGUCGGCUCAUCACAUCCUGGGGCUGAAGUAGGUCCCAAGGGUAUGGCUGUUCGCCAUUUAAAGUGGUACGCGAGCUGGGUUUAGAACGUCGUGAGACAGUUCGGUCCCUAUCUGCCGUGGGCGCUGGAGAACUGAGGGGGGCUGCUCCUAGUACGAGAGGACCGGAGUGGACGCAUCACUGGUGUUCGGGUUGUCAUGCCAAUGGCACUGCCCGGUAGCUAAAUGCGGAAGAGAUAAGUGCUGAAAGCAUCUAAGCACGAAACUUGCCCCGAG
Molecule: ribosomal RNA, 1563 nt
Filed under: Salmonella enterica
Lineage: Bacteria; Pseudomonadati; Pseudomonadota; Gammaproteobacteria; Enterobacterales; Enterobacteriaceae
Description: partial 23S ribosomal RNA
Rfam family: Bacterial large subunit ribosomal RNA
Source: RNAcentral